RNAcentral lists this long non-coding RNA (390 nucleotides) under Taeniopygia guttata (zebra finch). RNAcentral describes it as "lncRNA (ENSTGUG00000025100.1)". Lineage: Eukaryota; Metazoa; Chordata; Aves; Passeriformes; Estrildidae. The record is from RNAcentral.
AUGAUUCUGUCUGUGCAGAAAUCUGGGAGGCUCUGCCCAGCCUUCACCUUCCCUGUGUUAACUCAGCUACUGCAGUGCCCAGGGAACACCCAAGGUACAGUCACAGGGUUCUGUCAUUUUUGUUGCCAUUUAGAAGCUGCUUCUCAGUGUGGUGAAAGGAAACCCCAGGAAAUCGGUUCUCCUUUCCUUCUUUGUCGGGAAAGGUGUUCCCCCAAAAGCUGCAGGUGGAACAAGGGGAGCUGGAGAGGAGAAUGGUGUCAUCACCUGAGGGGAAACACAAAGCAGAAAGAAACGAGGAGGGGAAAUUUCGGUGCUUAUUUUUAGACUCCGUGGUGUAUGCCUGUCGGUCUUUUUGUGUGUUUUUCCAUGUGGAUGGUAAAAGUAGACGGG